ACAAACAAAAAAAACUCUUAGUUCCUAAAGACGUUCAAACUCAAAUUUCAAAUGUGCUCUACUCGCCCAGUGUAGCUCAGCCUGGUCUCAGCCCGUUGCCUCUGCCAGCACUGCUGGGCUUCCUUAACUCCUGCAGGAAUUCAGGACCCAUGGAUUCAGUGCCCUCCUAACUCUCAGAAUAGCCUCGUUGGCACAUUAAUAUGGAAUGUGCCCCCCGGGACUUUGCAUAUGUUAUUCCCUCCAUUCCUUUCUCAUCUGCCUUCUCCACAUUCACUUUACAGAAGAAAGGCGAACAGUCACCUUCUUCAAGGAGCCUCUCCUGACCACUCCUGCCUGCUUCCCUUCUUGUGUGUUUGCACGGUACCUGGCACUCCUGUGUGCCUGUUUGUCUCCCUGCCAGACUCCCCCUAAGAGCUGGGACCAUGCCCUGCUGUAUCCUUGGUGCUUGGCACAUUCCUUGGCAUGGAAUAGAAUUCAAAAUAUUUGGAAUAAACAAAGGACGCCGCCAUAGGGAUUCCCAGCUGGUUGACUCAUCCUUCUGUGGAAGCCAAAGAAUGGACCCAGACAUGGAUGAAGGUCGGGUGAAGGUCAUGAACACUGCAACACAGGCGCCAUCCCAUGUGACGUCCUUUCUGAACGACUCCACUGAAGACGAGCUUUGCUCUGACUCGCGAGGCCUGCGAAGCCAGGCAGAAGUCAGGGUGUUGGGAAACGGCCAAAGAGAGGAGAUAAGAGGUUGUGGCUGUGGCUCCAUCCUGGUUGAAGGCCUGGUCACUAAACACAAGCCCGGAUGAAGACACUCACCUUCUUCCCAAGGGUUCUCAGGCUGAAGGAGAAGUUGUUUUUCAUUUUUUCUUUUUCUUUUCUUCCAUUUUGUGUUGAAUUUCCAAUCCAUUAUGAACCCACACUUUUGUAAUGCUCAGUAAAAACGGAUUACUAAGAAAAUGGUCAUGCACCUGAGUCUUGAAACAACGUCAGAUUUUCUCUGAGUUCCUACAUGCUUCCUGUCCAUUUCUGUAUCGACUUUGUCGUUCAUAGGGAACAGUCAGACUUGCUGCCAAAGACCACACUUCAAGAAAUGACAUUCUAACAGACAUCGCUUCCACGUUUUUCUCCUUUCUUCCUACCAAAAGAAUCUAACACGAUCUUUCAAAAUGUAAAUUAGAUUGUGUCAGCCCACAGCUCACAAAACCACAGGAAGAGGGGGAGGGUUGUGAACAGACUUUCAAGACAGAUCUCUCGGAUUUAAAUCUCUGCACACCACUUCAUAGAGUUAGUGGCCCUGGGCAAGCCACCUCAUUUCUACGUGUCCCAUUUUCCUCAUCUAAAAACUGCAUCUGCUUCAUAGGGUUGCCGCAAGGAUUAAAUGUGUUCAUUUUUGUAAAAUGCUUAGAACGACGUCUAAGGCAUGGUAAGUACGUAUGCUACUUUUACUGUUAUUACGCAUCAUUAGCGUGGCCUACAGCAUCCUGCCUUCAUAAACGUCAUGCGUCAUUGUCAUCGUUGUUUUCGUUAUUUACAUGGCCUAUGAGUCCCUCCCUCUCUCUCUAGCCUCAUCUGAAUAACUAAGGCAUCAAGCCAGCCUCUUAACACAAGAUAAAAGAACAAUACAUUCAGGAUUUCAUGCAGAUCAUCUGUGGAGGGCUAGAUCAUUUCUCAUGGCAUUUCUCAGGGACGGGGGAGCCUGGUGGGCUGCCGUCUAUGGGGUCGCACAGAGUCGGACACAACUGAAGCAACUUAGCAGCAGAUCAUUUUUCAUCUAAUAGCCACCCCUUUCUCUCCACUUACGGGAGA
RNAcentral lists this long non-coding RNA (1794 nucleotides) under Bos indicus x Bos taurus (hybrid cattle). Its description in RNAcentral is "lncRNA (ENSBIXG00005004476.1)". Lineage: Eukaryota; Metazoa; Chordata; Mammalia; Artiodactyla; Bovidae. The record is from RNAcentral.